UUGACUUAUUUUUUUGCAUUAAAACUCAGAAGGUAAGGUUACUAGAGUUUAAUUGUUUAGGGCCAGCGGCUGGCGCCGGACGCCUUAAGCGUGCCGGACUGUCUGGUCCCCUGCCCACACCACGUGGGUUUAGGCAGGGGACCGCCCGCCGAGGCAACGGUUUUAAUUCAGGUCCACAGAAGGGUUAUUUGAGCGCGUGACUCGGUAAUGAUCCCUCCGCUGGUUCACCAACGGAGA
This 237-nucleotide unclassified non-coding RNA is filed under the name uncultured fungus. RNAcentral describes it as "sequence contains ITS1". Lineage: Eukaryota; Fungi. The record is from RNAcentral.